GACGAACGCUGGCGGCGUGCUUAACACAUGCAAGUCGAACGGAAAGGCCCUGCUUUUGUGGGGUGCUCGAGUGGCGAACGGGUGAGUAACACGUGAGUAACCUGCCCUUGACUUUGGGAUAACUUCAGGAAACUGGGGCUAAUACCGGAUAGGAGCUCCUGCUGCAUGGUGGGGGUUGGAAAGUUUCGGCGGUUGGGGAUGGACUCGCGGCUUAUCAGCUUGUUGGUGGGGUAGUGGCUUACCAAGGCUUUGACGGGUAGCCGGCCUGAGAGGGUGACCGGCCACAUUGGGACUGAGAUACGGCCCAGACUCCUACGGGAGGCAGCAGUGGGGAAUAUUGCACGAUGGGCGGAAGCCUGAUGCAGCAACGCCGCGUGCGGGAUGACGGCCUUCGGGUUGUAAACCGCUUUCGCCUGUGACGAAGCGUGAGUGGCGGUAAUGGGUAAAGAAGCACCGGCUAACUACGUG
RNAcentral lists this ribosomal RNA (468 nucleotides) under uncultured bacterium. Its description in RNAcentral is "partial 16S ribosomal RNA". It matches the Rfam family "Bacterial small subunit ribosomal RNA", at positions 28 to 507 of the family's 1533-position model. The record is from RNAcentral.